Non-coding RNA from Castor canadensis (American beaver), 484 nucleotides. The record is from the annotation of a RefSeq genome assembly. NCBI's taxonomy places the organism in Eukaryota, Metazoa, Chordata, Mammalia, Rodentia, Castoridae.
UGCCUGGGGUAGGGCAGGCUAAAUUUGCUGCUUUGUGGUGGAGACUUUCCCCAAGCUAAGAUCAGACCAGAUUUUGAGUACUGAAGCCUGAUACCUCAGUUUGCUUUUGAACUAUGAGACUGGUGACAGGAAUUACUAUUCUCCUCACUUUGGGUGUUGUGACUGAUUCCAAAGCCACACAGCCAAACUCAAUGGAAAGCACUGAAGACGAACCUGUACACUUGCCUUGUAACCACUCCACAAUCAGUGGAAAUGAAUUCAUAUAUUGGUACCGACAGAUUCCCCUCCAGGGUCCAGAGUACAUAAUUCAUGGUCUAAAAGACAAUGUGACCAACAGAAUGGCCUUUCUGGCCAUCCCUGCUGACAGAAAAUCUAGUACCUUGAUCCUGCCCCAUGCCAGCCUGAGAGACACUGGAGUAUACUACUGCAUCCUGAGAGACACACACUGGGACAGUUGUGGCUGCACCUGUGCAGUAUCUCCCUG